RNAcentral lists this ribosomal RNA (443 nucleotides) under uncultured bacterium. Its description in RNAcentral is "partial 16S ribosomal RNA". It matches the Rfam family "Bacterial small subunit ribosomal RNA", at positions 338 to 795 of the family's 1533-position model. The record is from RNAcentral.
CCUACGGGUGGCAGCAGUGGGGAAUAUUGGGCAAUGGGCGCAAGCCUGACCCAGCAACGCCGCGUGAAGGAAGAAGGCUUUCGGGUUGUAAACUUCUUUUCUGAGGGACGAAGAAAGUGACGGUACCUCAGGAAUAAGCCACGGCUAACUACGUGCCAGCAGUCGCUGUAAUACGUAGGUGGCAAGCGUUAUCCGGAUUUAUUGGGUGUAAAGGGCGUGUAGGCGGGAAAGCAAGGCAGAUGUGAAAACUCAGGGCUCAACCCUGAGCCUGCAUUUGAAACUGUUUUUCUUGAGUGCUGGAGAGGCAAUCGGAAUUCCGUGUGUAGCGGUGAAAUGCGUAGAUAUACAGAGGAACACCAAUGGCGAAGGCAGAUUGCUAGACAGUAACUGACGCUGAUGCGCGAAAGCGUGGGGAGCAAACAGGAUUAGAUACCCCUGUAGUC